GGAGGGAUGGCCGAGCGGUUUAAGGCACCGGUCUUGAAAACCGGCGAAGGGAUGUCCCCUUCCCUCCG
This 68-nucleotide transfer RNA is filed under the name Mesorhizobium sp. RNAcentral describes it as "tRNA-Ser". It matches the Rfam family "tRNA". From Rfam's summary of the family: Transfer RNA (tRNA) molecules are approximately 80 nucleotides in length. Their secondary structure includes four short double-helical elements and three loops (D, anti-codon, and T loops). The record is from RNAcentral. Lineage: Bacteria; Pseudomonadati; Pseudomonadota; Alphaproteobacteria; Hyphomicrobiales; Phyllobacteriaceae.